AUGCUUCCCGGUGCAGUUGUUGUUGGAGCAGCAGGCGGUGGUGGUGGUGCGCCGGGGCACGUGCGCGCGGCGGCCAGGGCUACCCUCAUCCCCGGCUUGGCGGUGGCCGCCAUGGGCCUCUUCUUCGCCGCCACCGUCAACCCCGGCGACUUCCACGCCCAGGUCGAGCACGCGGCGGCGCCGGCCGCGUACGGCGGGCAGCCCCAGCAGCGCUGCGAGGCCACGGAGGCGGAGGCCCUGGACCUGCGCGCGACGGCGCUGGUGCUGGUACUCACGGGCGCGGCGCAGGCGAUGCUGGCCGCGGCGGCCGGCGUGGCCUUGGCGGCGGGGUCCCUGUCCCUCCAGUGUGUAGGCCGGUUCCUCGCCCUCAUCGCGCACUUCUUCGCCCCCGCGAACGCCUGCUUCCUCUACUCUGUCCUCCAGGGGGUGGCGGUCGCCGUCGUCGGGCACUGCGCCGACGGAUACAACCUCAACUUCACCAUUGUCUGCGUCCUCGCCGGCGUGUCAUACGGCGUGCUGUUCGUGGUGAGCUUCUUAGUCACCGUCUGCGGAGGGAUCUGCCAGUCUGCCACAGUGCCACUGAUCCCCUCUAGCUUAGUUUAUCUUAGCUUAGCUUUGCUAGCUUGCAGCAUCUAUUUUCUUCUACCUAGCACUGCCGGCCACUACUACACUUAG
RNAcentral lists this ribosomal RNA (675 nucleotides) under Triticum aestivum (bread wheat). RNAcentral describes it as "partial small subunit ribosomal RNA". Lineage: Eukaryota; Viridiplantae; Streptophyta; Magnoliopsida; Poales; Poaceae. The record is from RNAcentral.